RNAcentral lists this ribosomal RNA (497 nucleotides) under uncultured bacterium. Its description in RNAcentral is "partial 16S ribosomal RNA". It matches the Rfam family "Bacterial small subunit ribosomal RNA", at positions 28 to 507 of the family's 1533-position model. The record is from RNAcentral.
GAUGAACGCUGGCGGCGUGCCUAAUACAUGCGAGUCGAGCGAACGGACGAGAAGCUUGCUUCUCUGAUGUUAGCGGCGGACGGGUGAGUAACACGUGGAUAACCUACCUAUAAGACUGGGAUAACUUCGGGAAACCGGAGCUAAUACCGGAUAAUAUUUUGAACCGCAUGGUUCAAAAGUGAAAGACGGCCUUGCUGUCACUUAUAGAUGGAUCCGCGCUGCAUUAGCUAGUUGGUAAGGUAACGGCUUACCAAGGCAACGAUGCGUAGCCGACCUGAGAGGAUGAUCAGCCACACUGGAACUGAGACACGGUCCAGACUCCUACGGGAGGCAGCAGUAGGGAAUAUUGGGCAAUGGGCGAAAGCCUGACGGAGCAAUGCCGCGUGAGUGAUGAAGGUCUUCGGAUCGUAAAACUCUGUUAGUAGGGAAGAACAGAAGUGAAAGAAAAUGUUGACGUCUUGACGGUACCUAAAGAGAAAGCCACGGCUAACUACGUG